Non-coding RNA from Styela clava, 414 nucleotides. Lineage: Eukaryota; Metazoa; Chordata; Ascidiacea; Stolidobranchia; Styelidae. The record is from RefSeq and is a predicted model, not a curated record.
CCAUAGUUUUGCAAUCAAUCUCGAUAAUUGCUAAAUUGGAAGCGCGCUGAUCAGACGACUUGGUUCAGUCUGGCUUAGUAUUUGUUGUAAAUCAGUGUUUUUGUGUCCAAUGAUUGUAGUAUUCGUGAGUUAGCCGAAAGAAAUAACAGUAUGUAUCAAAAAUAUAACUUGAGGUCAACAUAAACGUUCUCAAUUGCGAAUGAAAAACAAGUUUUGGCUGCAGGUUGAGACUGUAUAAUAAGCAAAUUAGCAUAGUAGGCUAACACUGCAGGUUUGCUAAUUUAGUCAUACAAGCUGAAUUAAAGUUACUUUGGAGUAUACUUCGCUAAUUGUAGUGCGUGAAGACUCAGAACAUAUACGAUAACUCUCCAGAUUCAAUUUGGUGUAUCAUCUUGUUGUCCUAUUUUCAAAAAA